AGCGAACGCUGGCGGCAGGCCUAACACAUGCAAGUCGAACGAACCUUUCGGGGUUAGUGGCGGACGGGUGAGUAACACGUGGGAACGUGCCUUUAGGUUCGGAAUAACUCAGGGAAACUUGUGCUAAUACCGCAUGUGCUCUUCGGGGGAAAGAUUUAUCGCCUUUAGAGCGGCCCGCGUCUGAUUAGCUAGUUGGUUGAGGUAAUGGCUCACCAAGGCGACGAUCAGUAGCUGGUCUGAGAGGAUGAUCAGCCACAUUGGGACUGAGACACGGCCCAAACUCCGACGGGAGGGAGCAGUGGGGAAUCUUGCGCAAUGGGCGAAAGCCUGACGCAGCCAUGCCGCGUGAAUGAUGAAGGUCUUAGGAUUGUAAAAUUCUUUCACCGGGGACGAUAAUGACGGUACCCGGAGAAGAAGCCCCGGCUAACUUCGUG
RNAcentral lists this ribosomal RNA (434 nucleotides) under uncultured bacterium. RNAcentral's name for it is "partial 16S ribosomal RNA". It matches the Rfam family "Bacterial small subunit ribosomal RNA", at positions 29 to 507 of the family's 1533-position model. The record is from RNAcentral.